RNAcentral lists this ribosomal RNA (253 nucleotides) under uncultured bacterium. RNAcentral's name for it is "partial 16S ribosomal RNA". It matches the Rfam family "Bacterial small subunit ribosomal RNA", at positions 524 to 776 of the family's 1533-position model. The record is from RNAcentral.
UACGGAGGGGGCUAGCGUUGUUCGGAAUUACUGGGCGUAAAGCGCGCGUAGGCGGCUUUGUAAGUUAGAGGUGAAAGCCCGGAGCUCAACUCCGGAACUGCCUUUAAGACUGCAUCGCUAGAAUCAUGGAGAGGUGAGUGGAAUUCCGAGUGUAGAGGUGAAAUUCGUAGAUAUUCGGAAGAACACCAGUGGCGAAGGCGACUCACUGGACAUGUAUUGACGCUGAGGUGCGAAAGCGCGGGGAGCAAACAGG